RNAcentral lists this ribosomal RNA (229 nucleotides) under uncultured bacterium. RNAcentral's name for it is "partial 16S ribosomal RNA". It matches the Rfam family "Bacterial small subunit ribosomal RNA", at positions 524 to 751 of the family's 1533-position model. The record is from RNAcentral.
UACGUAGGGGGCAAGCGUUGUCCGGAUUUAUUGGGCGUAAAGAGCGUGUAGGCGGCCAAACAGGUCCACUGUGAAAACUCGAGGCUCAACCUCGAGAGGUCGGUGGAAACCGUGUGGCUAGAGUCCGGAAGAGGAGAGUGGAAUUCCCGGGUGUAGCGGUGAAAUGCGCAGAUAUCGGGAAGAACACCCGUGGCGAAGGCGGCUCUCUGGGACGGUACUGACGCUGAGA